GGGGGGGGCGCUCAUGUCAGCGAACAACCGCUAUGGUUCUGUUUCGUGUGUGUGUGUGUGUUUUAUUGACAUGCCUCUGCUUCAAAACCCCUGAAGGGACCGCUCCACCGUCGAUAACCCUGCUUCAUAAUGCAUCAGCCGCUCACAAAACUGACCAGAGGUUAUGUGGGUCAUGCCGUGGCGACGCUGGGGGACGUGCACGGAGGGACACUGGCAGACAAAUGGGAGACAGGGAGAGGCUUAACAGAUUGAAGGCCAUCAAGGACAAUACGGAAAAAUGAACAACGACUAUUGUCGGAGGAAAUGCCGCAGGAGACUGACUGAUGGACGAGCAAAACAAGAGACGGGGGGAGAUGAAGCGGAGGAGGAGGACGGGUCGUAUUUCUGUCAUGCGGCGCCGUCCUUUGUUUGCUCAUCACAUGCGGUAUCUCUGCAUGGUCCUUGUAUUCAUGUCAGAGAUAAUUAUAGGAGGACGCCGCCAGUUGCCAGAUCAGUAGAUAGCGGACGGGAGCUGCAUCUAAGCGCGGCGUCUCUUCCCCCUACUGGGUUGCCAGAUUUGCGAAUGUCUUGUAUGACGCUGCAUGAGCUCGCAGCCAUGCCUCACCUUCUGCGUGUCCUCGAAGAAUAGCGUCACUGGGCUUCAGAUUUCUUCACCGUGUUUGUCUUGAAGGUCAAUGCAGUGGAGUUUAAUCAGAUCAGUCUCUCAGAAGAGGGUGAAGAGCAAAACAGACAACUGGAAAGACGUAUAAACAAUUUUCCUGACAGCCGAGGCUUUGAGACGGCAGCACCAGGAGGGAAGAGGAGGACGACGAAGAACCGGAACGUGAAGAACCACCAGCAGCAGCAACUACCACCUCUGAAAAUGCAUUCCAGUUUGCGACAUAUUUAAAAGGAGACCCUGCAAAGCCCUCUGUCGCAAGCAUCCGGCUCGGCUUACAUCACCCGAAAGACUUAUGCUGCGCCGGAUCAGCGUAAAGCCUGACAAGAUGUCCCGGGUGAUUUGCGAGGAGAACCUCUAGAGGUACUAGGAGCUGGCAGAAGGAGAGAUACCCGAGGCCUCUGGGUAAGCCCGCCCUCCCCUCACAAAGUGAUGUAUGUCCCUCUCCAAGGUGCUGAAGUGCGUCCUGCUCCGAGAGCGACCGCAGGUGAAGCCCGUGGCUUCAGCUCCGCUGCGGUUACUCCUCUGCAUUUUUUGCCGACGAAUACUCGCCCGGACUGGAGUCCUCACUCAUAUGAGGUUAAACAGAGGCUGUUUCUGAUGUGUGUCUCAACGGAUACCGUCGUAAUCUCCCUGGGUGUGUGUAUGUGCCGGGGUUUGAGGUGUGGUCACCAGGCCAAGCCCCCCGGUUUGAUUUGGGACUGCUUGCAAGAUCUUUAAUAGUUAACUAUGAAUUAAUUCAUGACAGUAAGUGAAAUGUUUCCACAACACUGUACGAUAUAUGAGGCGUGCAUUUAUCUUUAUUGGAGCCGCAGCAAAACACUAUCUCACAAGUUAUUAAUGUCAGAAAAUUGGAUGUGAGAGUCCGCUGUGAAACGGCUUCAGACAUAAAUUGUUCAAUUAAACAUCACCAGUGAAAUUGGUUGUACAGCAACGCGGGGCCGCAAAAAAAUUGAACGCCGAGAUGAAUAGACAACAAAAGUGACUUAGUAUUCAAAGUCGGUUCCAAGGGAGACUUGCCCAAGCUGUUUGCAGUGAUUUAUGGGGCUGAAUAUGUCUGAUUUGUUCUUGAGUGCACAAACUGCCCUCUCAGUUUAACAGUGAUUUGAAUGCGUCUCGGGGUUCCAACAUGGACGUUAUACGCCAGCACCGGGGAGUUCAGUCAAACACUAUUCCAAAGCCCAUCAAAGGGAGCGUUGAGAUUAUAGUGAUUUAUUUGCUACUCUGAGACAUCAGAGUGUGAGUGUUACAACAUCAAAGAGGCAAACUGCAAUUUCCAUUGGCCAGAACUGUGGCACGCCGUGACAAACGAAAGAAAUAAAAUAAAAUAAAAAACACUCUGUGGAGGUAAGAAAGAAGGUCCAUGAAUCAGAGUAAAAAGGAAUCUUCAGUGUGUUGUGGGAGAACAUCCUUCUAAGAUCCAAGAAGAUCUGGCUUUUAUCUACAAACAGUUUCCUAUAUUCAGGCUGUUUUUGACAGAUGUCUGUUGUACCUCCAGGGGGAUUCUACUGUGUUUGCUGAGUGUUUGAGUUUUUGUCUUUUCAUGCCGUAUCUGUAGGACCCGGGCGGAGGGAGGAAUUCAUCAUCCUAAUGUGCCGCGGAUAAGCGCUUGUUAAAAACCCCACACUGCGUUUUCUCGAUAUUCGUCAUGGUUGUAAGAAUUUUGCCUCAGGUGCCGAAGGCAGCUUGUGAAGCCGGUCAAAGAGCAUCAUUGAAAAGAGAAAAAUCCAGCAAUAUGUGGUGGAUCUCCCAGAUAUGAAAGAGAUGGCUAUUGCUGAAUACCUUGUUUGGAAGAAGGAGAAGUCCAACACAUAUCGUCUAACAACCAGGAAAUACCAUGCAGAGAUUUUUCUUUAAAAAAGAAAAAUAAAACAUUUAUAUUAAAACGUAAUUAAUUGCCAGUGAAAAUAACACCAGUAUUGUGAAGCUACUAUGAGAAUAUGGUUUCAUUCACUUCAUGGUCGGCACCUAAUUGGUCCCCGUAAGGAAGGCCGGUCCCCUCAAUGGGAGUGUGUAAACGGAUUUAUGUCCCCGCAACAUAGGUAAAACAAGCCCUCACACACACACACACACUGUCUGAAUAUGAUUUCUUUUGACUUGUUUAUCACCUUAGUGCCACACACAAACAGAGAGACACACCUAUGUGCAUAAAAAAUGAAAUGAGUUUGCUUGGCUUCUAUGAAUGAUAAUGAUGCCAUUCAACUGUUUGCUUUGCUGAUGGCCCCCCCCCCCUCCCC
Long non-coding RNA from Gasterosteus aculeatus aculeatus (three-spined stickleback), 2895 nucleotides. Lineage: Eukaryota; Metazoa; Chordata; Actinopteri; Perciformes; Gasterosteidae. The record is from Ensembl.